Marmota monax (woodchuck) is the source of this 5713-nucleotide long non-coding RNA. RefSeq lists it as uncharacterized. The transcript has 2 exons. NCBI's taxonomy places the organism in Eukaryota, Metazoa, Chordata, Mammalia, Rodentia, Sciuridae. The record is from RefSeq and is a predicted model, not a curated record.
UUCAGGGUCAGAGCUUCUCACAUUCUAUAAGUAAAUACUUUUCUUAGAAUACAAAAGUGAAACGUUAAUUGUAGUGAACUGAAAAACAAACUGAGAAAUCACCCAGAGCCUUCUUUUCAGAAAGACCCUAUAGCUUCUGUUGCAUCUUGCAAAAUAAUGUCCUAGAGCUCUCAGUUAAUUUUCCUUCACUAAGUAACAUGACUUGGCACCUGUUUAUUGCACACUAGUCAUUCAUCAACAGUAACAUUUUUAUUAGAAAGCAAAAUAAGAAGAUUCAGAAUAUAUUUUGCAAAUGAGAAUGCUAUUUUUUAAAAAUUUUCACCUUUGAUGCUUUCUGUGAGGAUCAAAAUUUGAUAGAUGCUCAACUUUCCUUUUAAAUUCUGUAUAUUUGGUUCUGUGUGGAGUUAGAUAGUUCAUUUUUUCAAAUAAUGGGUGAUUGAGAAAGGGAUUAUCUUAAUAAAAUCAAAACCACAAGAAAUAGGAUCUGUGUUACAGGCAGAGCUUUUCAAUUUAUACAAUAAAUCACUGUUUUCAAAUUAUGAUGGUGACAAAAAAAUUCAGGUGAUUAAAAUACAUGUAGGAGAUCCAGCCUAUUCUCACUAUUCAAAGAGAAUGAGUACUUAUAGUUUUUGUAUCAUGCAUAUUUUAUACACUUAUUAUGUUGUUGAUUAUAAUAUAUUCCCUGCUCUUUUAAUUAUAACCUUGUAUUCCUAUAUUUGAUAAUUUAUAUUAAUAAACUUUCAUGUUUGAUUUUUAAUUUCUUCAAAUAGUCCACAUCAUCAAGUGCAUCAACAUUUACACAGCUAUUCCAAAAUUUAUAUUAAUUUAUGAUUUUUUCAUUUUUUUUUCUUUUUGGGAUAAUAUUGAACAAGGUCAUAAAUCAUAUAAAGUGUCUACAUUUUGCAUCAUGCAUAUUAAUAGUUUUCUCAAAUUUACCUAACAGGUUAAAGCUAUAUAGUGAACUUUAAUUUAGUCUCUGGUUACCUAGCGCAUACUGACUUCCUGUGACUGUAAUCAUUUGUCUUUCACUGAGCAGAAUGUCACAGUGAGUGCAGAUAUUACUGCACACUUGUCAGGACUGCAGCCUCUUGGGACUUGGUAGAAAAAUUAUGGAAACAUUUUUACCAGUGAGAAAAUUAAAAGGCUACCUCUUUCUCCUUUAAACAUUUGGUUAAUUUUAUGAGGCCUCAAUAAUUGUUCCAUAAUCCUUUUCUAAAAAUUCUUUGUGUGCAUGGUGCAUGAUUCAUUCAUCAUAUCUCAUAAUUAUGAUCAAGAAGGAGCUUCAUCAUGAGAAAAAAAAUUCCCACACCAGAACCAAUCAAAAUAAAAAAGAGGAGGGAUGAGAGGUUUCCAGGCUAACAAAUGGUCAAUAUGGUUCCAUCUCUUAUCAUAAUGCAUGAUAAUAUUUUAAGAGAAAAAUUAUUAAAAACUUGCUUUUAUUACUGUGUAGUAAAUCAUUUAAAAUUUUUCCAUAUGAAAUAAGAGAACUGUUUCAAAUUCUCUUCUCAUUAUGGAAUAUUCUUUUAAUCUCAAUCUUCCUAUACAAUAUUGGAUCAAUAUUAGACAGCAAAUAGAAUUGGAUAAUCAUUAGACAGGCAGUAGGGGAUGUGAAUCCCAUUAUUUAUUGCCCUGUGAAGGCAGAAAAAGAAGCAGAACUUAGGCGGAGAUGUGAAAGGCAAUAAAUUCCAAACAUCAGUAUGUGGAGCCCAGUGAUGGUCACUUCAUUCCUGGAUGUGGCUUUGGCACCUAUAAAUCUCAAGAGGUAACAGUAGGGUAUUGCAUUGAGGGUUCCAAAGAAAGUAGACACAGGAUGAAUGGAAUCCAAUCUGGGUUGUCAAGAAACUUGCUUCCUAUGUGACUCUGGGGGACUUAUAUGGUUCUCUGUUUCUCCAGGUGAAAGCUAUUCCAUGUGUGGGAGAGACAAUGGUCAGACAAUGCUCUACAUCACUGAUGGUGUGGUCCCCUACAGAGUAUUUACCAAUUUGCUGGAAUGAUGGUUUAGCAAUUGGUUUUCACUGGGACUGGUUUCUCUAUUUCUAUACUUUGCAAUUUUUUUUUUCCUUUCAAGAAAGCAAGGUCCACAAAAAUCUGAUUAGCAAAAUGUACUUGAGAUAAGAAGCACAGAAUAAAUGAUGGGGAUAACUUCCUUUCCACUGUGAGGAAGUCUUCAGCAUCUCAUAGAAAAUGCUGCACCUUGGCUGAAUAUAUUUUUUCAUGUGCUCUCAAACUGCAGGAAAUUUAGCUGAAUGUAUAAUAUAACAUCCUGAGAAGUCAAGUGGCACGUAAGAAAGAUAUUUUCCAUUAUUGGUCAUCGUUAAUGUGUGCUGUAUUGAUAAAUUACAAUCUGAAGAGGAGUGAGCUAAGUUCACUAGAGGGGAAUUAAUUUUGUACUCUGGACACUUAAUUGUGUGAUAAGCGAUUAGUAUGCUGAACUUUGGAUAUAGUAUUUUUCUUCUGCAUGACUUAAGGAAAAAUGCAGAGACAUGAUAGGACAUGUUUACAUUGUAGGACAAAGUGGCAUAAAGUGGACCACUAGGGCUUCAGGCAUACUUCAUGUGCCCUGACACUUAGGCAAUUCAUGGCUGGUUUCAGCAGAGGGAGGUAGGUUCCAGGAUCACAUUCAGUUUGAUUUCAUGGAAAAAGAAAUAUUCUGAAAAUUUAAGAAGAUAAAAGAGUGUGUCUUAUUUGCCUUUUUAUACUUUACCAAAUGAACUUUCAAAUCAUUAUCCAAACUUUGCAGACCAUGAAAUAAUUGUCAUUUUCACUCUUAUUAUAUCUUUCACAAAAGAGUGUGAAUUAACAUUAAGGGCUCACACUAAUGUGAAUAAUUCUUUACCACAUGAGUACAUUUUCUUAUUUGUAAAUCUAUAUCCUCACACUAUACAUAUUUUUCCAGCCAGUGUUUAGAUCCAUCAUAUGUAGUUACAGGUGUGGGUCAGAGGUUACACAGCAUAUUGCUCUUUGUUCAAGAGCCUGUUAUCAACCUGGCCACUGGUUGGCAUCUGGGAACUUUGAUUUUUCAGUUUUUAAUAACACACAAAGAUGAUGAAGGUCCCUAAAUGGCAUGAACAUUGUAGUUUAUCUAUGCAUUCUUCAGUCAUAUUCAUAGUCCUGUUGUGCCAGGGCAGUGGGAUAGGUUGCCAAAAGACCAGAGAAAAUACCUGGAGACUCCAAAUAGGCAAAAGACCUUAUUGAGAAAUGCUUAUAGGGAGGGUACAUCAGUGACAGUCUGAACAGACAGCACCUGACUCCCUCACAUUGGUCAUGUAAAUAUAAAAGCAGGUGAUUACUUCUCAUUAUAGACAUGUUUAUCCUAGAGAGUUGGUAAAGGAGUCACAGGCAAUGAAUUCCAAACAUCAGUAUGUAGAGCUCAAUGAUGGUCACUUCAUUCCUGGGCGGGGCUUUCGCACCUAUAAGCCUCAAGAGGUAACAGUAAGGGGUUGGGUUGAGGGCUCAUAAGAAAGUAGAGACAAUAUAAAUGGAAUCCAAUCUAAGUUGCCAAGUUACUUGUUCCUUAUGUGACUCUGAAGGACUCACAUGUACUCUCUUUCUUCACGCUAGAGCUAUUCCAUGCACAGGAUAGACAAUGGUCAGACAUUGCUCUACAUCUUUGUCUGAUUUCAAUCUAUUCAACCAAUUUAGUAAAAGAUGAAUGUCAGCACUUGGUUUGCACUAGUACUGGUUUCUGUUUAUUUCCAUAAUUCAUGAAAUCUUUUUUCCUUCCAAAAAAGUCAAGAUCCAGAGACAUCUGUGUAGCAAAAGGUACAGAAGAUGAGAAGCACAGAUAAAUGAUGAGGAUUCCUUCCUUUCUGCUCUGAGGUAGCCUGCAGCAUCUCACAGAAAUGGUGGACCUGAGCUGAGUAGGAUUUUCCAUGUGCUCUCAACUGUGGUGCUGCCAUGGGACUCCUCACUAUUCCUGUGGAUAAAUGCAGGGUUAGCAAUAUCUCAAAUCCAUAACAGCUGAACUCCAGUUUUCAACAGCUUUCACCACAGCUGCAUCAGCUUACAGUUAUUAUCAUUAAAGGUCCUGACCCAGUGAUUGUUUGGAGUCGGGGGUCUGUUUGUUUCCACAGAGAGAACAGCAGCCAAUUUGGAUUCCAGAGAGACUAACUAAAUCGAUUUCUACAGACCAAAAAGAUCCUUACAUCUGCAAUAAUGGUUCUCCCACACCUGGAGGCUAAUGAAUAAUGAGCACCAUUAAGGCCUAUUUCAAAUAUAAAUUACUGAAAUCCAAAUGAGACUUCGGAAAUACAGCUACCAUCAUCACAGCUAUUGCUGUUUCUGCUGCUGCUACAACAGCUUCUGCGAUAGCUAUCACACAAACUGUACAAACUGUUGCAUUAAUAUUUACUUCAAGAAGAAAUAGACAUAUUAAUGGAUUCCUCUGCUUUAAGCUGCUUGCAGAACUUACCUGGACUGUGUAUCACUUAUAUGCAUUAUGAACUGAUACAACAAAUUGUAAUUAGUACAAGGGUAUCUUUGCUGAUGGUGUCAUCUGUGGUACAGUUUUUCCAGGGAUCUCUCACUUGGAGCAGUCAAUGGCUUGAUAUCAUAGCAUUUUGUAUCCUCCUCCUUUCUGCUUGUGGCAGGUUGUUUGUGGUGUAUAUGUAAAAACCACUAUGGUCGUUAUCCACAAGUAUGGCUAAGUGUGUUGGGCCGGUAGUCAAAGAUGGGUAAGAUCCAAUUACAAUGGUACCAACCUAAGACAGGAGGCUGACGAUUUGAGGUCAGACAAUCCAAUGAUGGGUAAGGACCAUAUGUAGUAUUGGACAACCUAAAACAGGCUCGGUCCCUGAGCCACAUACUUGUUGUUUAAUUAAACAGAAGGGAGGAGAUGUUGAGGGCCACAACCAAGUCAAGAUGGCGCCUGGCAAUUUGCCAGGAGGAGUGGUUUGUGAAGAUACGCCAGCGAGCCAUUAAGAUGAUGAAGAUUCCUUAAUGACUGACUGCUGUAUCUAGAUGAUGUUAGUUAAGUUAAGCUGUGUGUAAUUAGUUGGGUAUAUAUACCUCUGCUGUCCCGUAAUAAAGUGGCUCCCACUGUUUCAGGCUUCACAAGUUGCUUGUCACAUCCUGGUUAUUUGCCCAGCCAGACUGCGGGACAUUCAUCUGUGAAGGACGCCUAGUUGGUUCCAUAGUUUAUCUAUUGUUAAUUUAGCUACUAUAAACACUGAUGUGGCUGCAACAUUGCAGUAUGCUAAUUUGAGAUCCUUUGUAAGGGUUGUGUGUUUGGGAUUGGGGUCUCUGAUGACUUCAUGGUUGUAGCAUGCUUGGUGGCUGGGAAAGUUUCUGUACAAAAGUACAGGAUGCCUAGCAGCUGAGAAAUUUUCUCUGCAAAGGCACAUAAUGCCUAGCUGUGCAAGGACACGGAUGCCUAGCUUUUGUAGCAAUGCCCUUAAUGAGGAGUUCUGUGCUUGAGUCUUAUCAGCCUAGACCUUGAUCUCAGGUACAAAGAAACUCUUGUUAGACAACCACAAUAUUUUACCAAGCUCUGCUGUGCCAGAGUCUGUCCACAGAACAGUAACAAUGGACUUUCUUGAGAGCUACACAAAGCUCCUAACAUUGCACAUUAAAACUACAGCAUGUAAUUGACUAAUAAGCUGCAUAAUGUUGCUAACUCUGUAACCUGCCUAGUGACACAUGGACAAUAAUGUACUACUGAUGCCAGGGACCCAAUGUAACCUAUUGAUAUAAAUAAAACUGGCAGCUUUGAUAA